Molecule: ribosomal RNA, 651 nt
Filed under: uncultured Acidobacteriota bacterium
Lineage: Bacteria; Pseudomonadati; Acidobacteriota
Description: SSU rRNA
Rfam family: Bacterial small subunit ribosomal RNA
Source: RNAcentral
CAGUUAGUUGGCGGGGUAAUAGCCCACCAAGACGAUGAUCGGUAUCCGGCCUGAGAGGGCGCACGGACACACUGGAACUGAAACACGGUCCAGACUCCUACGGGAGGCAGCAGUGGGGAAUUUUGCGCAAUGGGGGAAACCCUGACGCAGCAACGCCGCGUGGAGGAUGAAAUAUCUUGGUAUGUAAACUCCUUUCGAUGGGGAAGAUUAUGACGGUACCCAUAGAAGAAGCCCCGGCUAACUUCGUGCCAGCAGCCGCGGUAAUACGAGGGGGGCAAGCGUUGUUCGGAUUUAUUGGGCGUAAAGGGUGCGUAGGCGGUUUGGCAAGUCUGAUGUGAAAUCUAUGGGCUCAACCCAUAGUCUGCAUCAGAAACUGCCGGGCUUGAGUAUGGGAGAGGUGAGUGGAAUUUCCGGUGUAGCGGUGAAAUGCGUAGAUAUCGGAAGGAACACCUGUGGCGAAAGCGGCUCACUGGACCAUAACUGACGCUGAUGCACGAAAGCUAGGGGAGCAAACAGGAUUAGAUACCCUGGUAGUCCUAGCCCUAAACGAUGAUUGCUUGGUGUGGCAGGUACCCAAUCCUGCCGUGCCGAAGCUAACGCGAUAAGCAAUCCGCCUGGGGAGUACGGUCGCAAGGCUGAAACUCAAAAGAA